Gasterosteus aculeatus aculeatus (three-spined stickleback) is the source of this 2006-nucleotide long non-coding RNA. NCBI's taxonomy places the organism in Eukaryota, Metazoa, Chordata, Actinopteri, Perciformes, Gasterosteidae. The record is from Ensembl.
CCCCCCUGCCCCUCUGCCCCCCUCCAGGGUGGAUUGUCUGGUGACCUGGACCUGCUGACAAGUCUCACUCUGCAGGAAAAGCUUCACACCCUGAGCAGCUUUCCAGGUGAACACACCUGCUGCUACGGUCACUAUAAUGUUACCCUUCAAAAUAAAAGUCUCACUUAUCUCCUCUGUGUCAGUGUUACUAAACGUUAUAUUAGUCUCUGUCUAGCUCAUAUAACUAUGUCUGCAUUCAACAUUAGGCUGGACAAAAAGAUUUCCUGCACACACACACACACACACACACACACACACACACACACACACACACACAGUCCAGAUGUCGGGGAAUAAGGGACACUUAAAGAGCUGGUGAGUUACGUACAUCCGAAUUUCUCCCUCACACACGAGUUCAACAUGGAGGCAGCCAACUGGGAGGGACGAGUAUGACGAAAUCAGAAAGAAAGACGCAGAGACACAGAGAGGGAGAAGGGAGAGACAGAGAGAGACAGACAGCUUGUUGUCCUCACGUGUGGUUAUUUUACAGUUUGCUGGUUGUUUUAACAUUGUGUGGCUGUUCGUUGUUUCUAACGUGUUUGUGUUGAAGGACGGAUCGAUGAUAUCUGGGUUGGUUCACUGUGAUUAGUAGAUUACUAAUGUGUGUGUGCGAUGGAGGUGAUCGGGUGUGACUUCCUGCUCUGUGUCUCAUUUCUCUGGAGAUGAUGACGAAAACGCUCAUAACACUUCAUAUGCAACGAAACGCACACACACACACUAUACAUGAUAUACACACACACACUAUACAUGAUAUAUAUAUAUAUAUAUAUCAUGUAUAGUGUGUGUGUGUGUGUGUGUGUGGCCGAGAUUAAUGCAACAAAAUAUUUCAACAUAGUUAAUGUACAUUUGUUCCGGUUUAGUUGACGGACACAAAGCUUUUUGCUUUGGAAGUAAAACAAGCGCCAACGGACCACUUAAAGCACUGUUAUGCUGAGCUAGCUGCUAUGCUAAGGUAAGUUCGCUGCUAGGCUAAGCUGCUAUGCUACUUCCAUCUCAACAUAACGUCAGUUGCCCUGCGCGUCACAGUCUGCAGAGGACCGCUGUGUCCCUAAAAGACUGGUUUGAAGACGUCCUGCUAAAUGUGGGACAUUGUUUAAACAAAGUGCACGAGGACAACAGAAGAGUCACAUGUUCAACAUGUUCCACCUGGUGGGAUUCUGCCUCGAUGAUCACAUGUGUGUAGUUUUGUGUUUAAAAUAACAUUAACAAUUAAACGACAGUGUCUAAAAUACACGUUUCUGAAUUUUUUACUUGUCUGAUUCUGUCUUUGGAAGAAAAACAAACAUUCAUUAAAAACAACAUUGAAGCAACAACAACAUUCAUUAAAUGCCAUUGAUCAAGAUUAAUGUAUUUCAAAAUGUGCAUUAAUUAAUUGUAUUCUAUUCACAGGCCAAAUAUAUACAGUACACGUCUAUACAUAUAUAAACGUGUGUAUAACAUAUAUAAACAUGUGUAGAACAUAUAUAACAUGUGUAAAACAUAUAUAAACAUGUGUAGAACAUAUAUAAACAUGUGUAGAACAUAAACAUGUGAAGAACAUAUGUAACAUGUGUAGAACAUAUAUAAACGUGUGUAGAACAUAUAUAAACAUGUGUAGAACAUAUAUAAACAUGUGUAGAACAUAUGUAAACAUGUGUAGAACAUAUAUAAACACGUGUAAAACAUAUAUAAACAUGUGUAGAACAUAUAUAAACAUAUAUAAACAUGUAACAUAUAUAAACAUGUGAAGAACAUAUGUAACAUGUGUAGAACAUAUAUAAACGUGUGUAGAACAUAUAUAAACAUGUGUAGAACAUAUAUAAACGUGUGUAGAACAUAUAUAACAUGUGUAAAACAUAUAUAAACAUGUGUAGAACAUAUAUAACAUGUGUAGAACAUAUAUAAACAUGUGUAGAAGAUAUAUAAAAAUGUGAAGAACAUAUGUAACAUGUGUAGAACAUAUAUAAACAUGUGUAGAACAUAUAGAA